GGCCUUCGGGUUGUAAACCUCUUUCGCCGGGACGAAGCGGCCGUGACGGGACCUGCAGAGGAAGCGCCGUACCCCUACGGGCCACCCGCC
This 90-nucleotide ribosomal RNA is filed under the name uncultured bacterium. RNAcentral describes it as "partial 16S ribosomal RNA". The record is from RNAcentral.